This is a long non-coding RNA of Diorhabda sublineata, 932 nucleotides long. RefSeq lists it as uncharacterized. The record is from RefSeq and is a predicted model, not a curated record. The transcript is spliced from 3 exons. NCBI's taxonomy places the organism in Eukaryota, Metazoa, Arthropoda, Insecta, Coleoptera, Chrysomelidae.
UAAAAUUUUUUCUACUUAACAUUAAUGUUGCUAAUUGCAUAACUCUUUACUGUGCUCUGAUAGUUUAUUUAGUAAUAUAAAGAUUAGUCAUGAUAUGAUAUACACUUACAACAACAGAACGAUAUAACCAUGGCCUGUGCACUGGAAUAGGAGAAGUUCGGGACGAUUUUCAACGCCAUCUCUGUUACUGGCUCACAUCUAAAAGCUUACUUUUUGGUGUUUUAUUUUUAAAUGUUUGUCAAUCUGAAUUCUAAAACUAAGUUGCAAUCGAGAAAGAACCAAGAUUAUUGAAUGCACAACGUCAAUCUUCCAAACGUGUUUGACAUUGUUUGUUUAUUAUCUAUUUGCAUUUUUGUGAAUUUGAAAGUUAUUAUUUGUUGCGAAUUGUGCUGUCGUGUUUACUUAGUCAAUAUGAGUAAACGAGUAAAGGCCUGCUGUGUACCAGGAUGCACGAAUAAGUAAGCGAUAAGACAUUCCAUUCCUACGAAUGAAGACGUUUGCAGAAUUUGGUUGCAAAGAAUAAAUAACCCCAAGUUAUACAGCAGAUAUAGUAUUAUCAUAACAUAGAAUAUGUAAUAUUCAUUUUGAACCAAUUUGUAGAAACCCCAAUGGCAGGUUAAAAAACUUUCACUGCCAACUCUACAUUUACCUGGUCAAAGAUCAACAAUAUGAAGACUAUGAUGUGAUGAAUAUGGUAUAUGUUAAAUAUAAAAAAAGCUACAAGAAAGACAACGGUAAUCAUUAAUUAUCCAUGUUUAUAAAAUCAGUUUUUUAUAUACCAUUGGAUGUACCAUGUACAAACAGAAACAUUUUUCAAACACGCCAACAUCUCACUGUUGACAGUCCUAAGCAUGCUAAAGUGCGAAGGAAAAUUUUUUGUUUGUGGAUAUAGUUAUAAAAUGUCAAUAACGAAAUAAAAAUUAUAAUAAUCA